UACGUAGGCAGCAAGCGUUGUCCGGAAUCAUUGGGCGUAAAGAGCGUGUAGGCGGCUUGUUAAGUCUUGCGUGAAAUCUCGGGGCUCAACCCCGAGCGGUCGUGAGAAACUGGCAGGCUAGAGUGCGGGAGAGGAGAGUGGAAUUCCUGGUGUAGCGGUGAAAUGCGCAGAUAUCAGGAAGAACACCCGUGGCGAAGGCGGCUCUCUGGAACGCAACUGACGCUGAGACGCGAAAGCGUGGGGAGCAAACAGG
This 253-nucleotide ribosomal RNA is filed under the name uncultured bacterium. Its description in RNAcentral is "partial 16S ribosomal RNA". It matches the Rfam family "Bacterial small subunit ribosomal RNA", at positions 524 to 776 of the family's 1533-position model. The record is from RNAcentral.